UCUUGGCUGGCUCAGUCAGUAGAGCAUGUGACUCUGGAUCUUAGGGUCAUGAGUUUGAGCCCCAUGUUGAGUG
This 73-nucleotide transfer RNA is filed under the name Felis catus (domestic cat). It matches the Rfam family "tRNA". From Rfam's summary of the family: Transfer RNA (tRNA) molecules are approximately 80 nucleotides in length. Their secondary structure includes four short double-helical elements and three loops (D, anti-codon, and T loops). Lineage: Eukaryota; Metazoa; Chordata; Mammalia; Carnivora; Felidae. RNAcentral also lists the same sequence under 4 other names. The record is from Rfam by way of RNAcentral.